Molecule: ribosomal RNA, 467 nt
Filed under: uncultured bacterium
Lineage: Bacteria
Description: partial 16S ribosomal RNA
Rfam family: Bacterial small subunit ribosomal RNA
Source: RNAcentral
GACGAACGCUGGCGGCGUGCUUAACACAUGCAAGUCGAACGGAAAGGCCUCUUUCGGGGGGUACUCGAGUGGCGAACGGGUGAGUAACACGUGAGUAACCUGCCCUUGACUUUGGGAUAACUUCAGGAAACUGGGGCUAAUACCGGAUAGGAGCUCCUGCUGCAUGGUGGGGGUUGGAAAGUUUCGGCGUUUGGGGAUGGACUCGCGGCUUAUCAGCUUGUUGGUGGGGUAGUGGCUUACCAAGGCUUUGACGGGUAGCCGGCCUGAGAGGGUGACCGGCCACAUUGGGACUGAGAUACGGCCCAGACUCCUACGGGAGGCAGCAGUGGGGAAUAUUGCACAAUGGGUGGAAGCCUGAUGCAGCAACGCCGUGUGCGGGAUGACGGCCUUCGGGUUGUAAACCGCUUUCGCUCAUGACGAAGCUUUGUGUGACGGUAGUGGGUAAAGAAGCACCGGCUAACUACGUG